RNAcentral lists this ribosomal RNA (597 nucleotides) under Saccharomyces cerevisiae (brewer's yeast). RNAcentral describes it as "eukaryotic LSU rRNA". It matches the Rfam family "Eukaryotic large subunit ribosomal RNA", at positions 46 to 656 of the family's 3401-position model. The record is from RNAcentral. Lineage: Eukaryota; Fungi; Ascomycota; Saccharomycetes; Saccharomycetales; Saccharomycetaceae.
AAAAGCUGAGGAAAAGGAAACCAACCGGGAUUGCCUUAGUAACGGCGAGUGAAGCGGCAAAAGCUCAAAUUUGAAAUCUGGUACCUUCGGUGCCCGAGUUGUAAUUUGGAGAGGGCAACUUUGGGGCCGUUCCUUGUCUAUGUUCCUUGGAACAGGACGUCAUAGAGGGUGAGAAUCCCGUGUGGCGAGGAGUGCGGUUCUUUGUAAAGUGCCUUCGAAGAGUCGAGUUGUUUGGGAAUGCAGCUCUAAGUGGGUGGUAAAUUCCAUCUAAAGCUAAAUAUUGGCGAGAGACCGAUAGCGAACAAGUACAGUGAUGGAAAGAUGAAAAGAACUUUGAAAAGAGAGUGAAAAAGUACGUGAAAUUGUUGAAAGGGAAGGGCAUUUGAUCAGACAUGGUGUUUUGUGCCCUCUGCUCCUUGUGGGUAGGGGAAUCUCGCAUUUCACUGGGCCAGCAUCAGUUUUGGUGGCAGGAUAAAUCCAUAGGAAUGUAGCUUGCCUCGGUAAGUAUUAUAGCCUGUGGGAAUACUGCCAGCUGGGACUGAGGACUGCGACGUAAGUCAAGGAUGCUGGCAUAAUGGUUAUAUGCCGCCCGUCUGA